AUUUAAAUAAUUUAAAAAAAAAUAUUGAUUUGUGGUGUCAAAAAUAUGAAAAGUUCAUUUUAAAUU
This 66-nucleotide transfer RNA is filed under the name Xestia dilatata. Its description in RNAcentral is "tRNA-His". Lineage: Eukaryota; Metazoa; Arthropoda; Insecta; Lepidoptera; Noctuidae. The record is from RNAcentral.